This is an RNA transcript of Hibiscus syriacus, 1987 nucleotides long. It is a transcript of the gene named cleavage stimulating factor 64-like, with no coding region annotated. The transcript is spliced from 8 exons. NCBI's taxonomy places the organism in Eukaryota, Viridiplantae, Streptophyta, Magnoliopsida, Malvales, Malvaceae. The record is from RefSeq and is a predicted model, not a curated record.
AAGUCAACGGAGAUAAUGGCGGGGAAGCAAAUCGGCGGUGAGGGAUUGCCUGCCUACAUAGCUGGAAUGACGAAGAAUCAACUUUACGAUAUCAUGUCUCAGAUGAAGACACUUAUAGAACAAAAUCAGCAACAAGCGAAAGAGAUCCUUAUUCAAAACCCUCUCUUGACUAAAGCCCUUUUCCAGGCUCAGAUUAUGCUUGGAAUGGUUAGCCCCCCUCAAGUGAUUCCUACCAUUCAGCCAUCUGUAUUGCAACAAUCUCAGUCUCAGCAAUCAGCACAACCGCCUCCAAUGCCGAACAUGCAGCCAGCAAAAUCAUUUCAAGGUCAACUUGGGUUGCAGGACCAAACUGCUCCGUGUCAGACCCAACCUCCUUUAAGAAAACAGCAUCAAAACCAAGCUGGCACACAAAUCUCAGCUGCUGCUGUACCUGCUGGAAACGUUCAGUCUCAACCCAUGCCAGCACAUUCCCUCCAGACACCUCAGCAGAUGAAGGGACAUCUGAAUCCUCCAAUGUCCCUUCCACAAUCAUCCCAACUUCCUCUUCAUCCAUCUUCACAGCCCCAACAUCAUCAACAAACACAUAUGCCAAUGGCCUCCGGCCAGUUGCAGCAGUCAUUGCAGACAACUGGAAUUUCUCAUAUGCCUCUGCAGCCACCUAUGCCGCAACAGGCAAGACCCUCUUCUGUACCAACUUUACAUCAUCAGUAUACUCCCCAAAUGGGUCCUAAUGUCGGUUUCCAGCACCCUGGUGCUCCCCAGCAUCAUUCACAGCCGAUGUUCCAUUCUGGUAAUAAACCACCACCUGGCCUUGGAUACUCUUUUCCACAAGGACAGACACCACACUCAAAUCAGUUGCCAUCUCAAUCGGUGUAUCAAAAUCAAGCAGGAAGCUUACGUUUAGGAUCUGACUUUGGCAACCAAGUUCGAGGUUCAAUGCAGGCAGAUAGAGGAUCUCCUUGGAUGUCAAGCCAACCAGAUAAUUCAACACUUCCACAGCUUCAAGGACCCUCAUCUUUGGUUCCCAAUCAGAUGGGUCCUGGAAACCAGGCCCCUCUCACUGCCUCGUUGACUCCUGAGAUGGAGAAGGAACUACUUCAGCAGGUAAUGAGCCUUACUCCAGAACAGAUUAAUCUCUUGCCUCCUGAGCAAAGGAAUCAAGUACUUCAGCUCCAGCAGAUUCUUCGCCAAUGAGAAGGUUUAAUAACAGCACAGGUUAUGAGCUGCACUCCGGAACAGGUUAAUCACUUACCCUUGAUUCAGCAUUUGCUGCGGAGGGUUAUAGGAAUUAAUUUCGUCUUCGGGCUCCUUUGCGAGCUCGGUAAUUUGUUUGAAGGCCUAUAGAAACCUCUUUAAAGUCAAACCUCAUGUAGUAAGAAGUAAGUUGCAGAUUCAGUGUUGGCCCUUUUAUCGUUCACUUUUGCAGGGAGCGGUAGUGUCAAGUGAGCAUUAUUAGGUCUUGUGCUUACAGAUGGCAAUGGGUCGAAAAUUUCCAGACCGAGUUCCUUUAUCUUGUUGAAUCAUUCUCAAGCUGCACCAUACACUCUUGUUGCAUAUCUUGAAGAGUUUCAACUUCACCCAACUGACUGGAACUUUUGUACUUGUGGAACUCUUUCUAGUAACCCGUACAUGGAUCUCUCGCCGUUUGACCCUUCGGAGCGGUAACCUCUGGUCAGACGGUCUCUGAUAUUGAUAUUGAUAUUGAACUAGCCAGUGUUAGGUGGAACUUGAUGUCUGAUCCACCUAACACGGGCUAGUUCAAAAUUAAGUUCAACUUUAAGGGAAAACCCUAAAUCCAAAAAAAAAAUCCAAAUCAACCACCCAAGUCCAUUUAAAGGGCUGUACAGCUAAAGAUUUUGCCAAUUUGGUAAUCUCAGGUGAACUGAUUAAAGGAGUUGUUAGAAGUGAAAAACUUGGUAGGAUUGACACUGCCAAGAGUUUGACAUCUACCGGAAGGAUUUGGGUACUUAAGCUGUUGGAGGUCCUU